UUGUAGCUCAGUGGUAGAGCUCUUGCCUAGCAUGCAUGAGGCCUUGGAUUCAAUUCCAGUAA
RNAcentral lists this transfer RNA (62 nucleotides) under Ictidomys tridecemlineatus (thirteen-lined ground squirrel). RNAcentral's name for it is "Spermophilus tridecemlineatus (thirteen-lined ground squirrel) tRNA". It matches the Rfam family "tRNA", at positions 5 to 66 of the family's 71-position model. Rfam says of the family: Transfer RNA (tRNA) molecules are approximately 80 nucleotides in length. Their secondary structure includes four short double-helical elements and three loops (D, anti-codon, and T loops). Lineage: Eukaryota; Metazoa; Chordata; Mammalia; Rodentia; Sciuridae. The record is from Rfam by way of RNAcentral.